UAUUAUUUUAAUUGUAAAUUUGUAAGGCUUGAGUAGUAUUAGUUAAGUUCUUGAAACUCAAAGAAUUUGGCGGUGUUUUAGUCUUUUCAGAGGAAUCUGUUCUAUAAUCGAUAUUACACGUUAAAGGUAACUUGAUUUUGUAAUUAACAGUUUGUAUACCGCCGUCAUAAGAAUAUCUUUUUAGGGAGAUAAUAUUCUAAUUAUUAAUAGAAAUUAUAUGUCAGGUCAAGGUGCAGCUUAUAAUCAAGGAGAAAUGGAUUACAAUAAAUUUAUUUAUUACGGAUAGAUGAUGAAAUUUUGAAAUGAAGGUGGAUUUGGAAGUAAUUUUGUUAUAUUAUGAUAAAAUGAUUAAAGCGCUGGAACAUGUACACAUCGCCCGUCACUCUCAUUAUUAAGGUGAG
RNAcentral lists this ribosomal RNA (401 nucleotides) under Euceraia atryx. RNAcentral describes it as "partial 12S ribosomal RNA". It matches the Rfam family "Microsporidia small subunit ribosomal RNA", at positions 752 to 1220 of the family's 1311-position model. Lineage: Eukaryota; Metazoa; Arthropoda; Insecta; Orthoptera; Tettigoniidae. The record is from RNAcentral.